CACGUAGGGGGCGAGCGUUGUUCGGAAUUACUGGGCGUAAAGGGCAUGUAGGCGGCCUUGUAAGCCUGGCGUGAAAUUCCACGGCUUAACCGUGGGAAUGCGUUGGGAACUGCAAGGCUUGAGUGACGGAGAGGGAGCUAGAAUUCCUGGUGUAGGGGUGGAAUCUGUAGAGAUCAGGAAGAAUACCAAUGGCGAAGGCAAGCUCCUGGCCGAUGACUGACGCUGAGGUGCGAAAGUGUGGGGAUCAAACAGG
This 253-nucleotide ribosomal RNA is filed under the name uncultured bacterium. Its description in RNAcentral is "partial 16S ribosomal RNA". It matches the Rfam family "Bacterial small subunit ribosomal RNA", at positions 524 to 776 of the family's 1533-position model. The record is from RNAcentral.